AAUUUUUGACAAUGGGGGAAACGCUGAUCCAGCAAUGCCGCGUGCAGGAUGAAGGNCUNNGGGUUNUNAACUGCUUUUGUACGNNNNNAAAAGUCUUUGNCUCAUACCCUGGGCUCAUGCAGGUACCGUAAGAAUAAGCACCGGACAACUUCGUGCCAGCAGCCGCGGUAAUACGUAUGGUGCAAGCGUGAAACGGAAUUACUGGGCGUAAAGCGUGCGAAGGCGGUUUUGUAAGACAGUGGUGAAAUCCCCGGGGUCAACCUGGGAACUGCCAUUGUGACUGCAAGGCUGGAGUGCGGCAGAGGGGGAUGGAAUUCCGCGUGUAGCAGUGAAAUGCGUAGAUAUGCGGAGGAACACCGAUGGCGAAGGCAAUCCACUGGGCCUGCACUGACGCUCAUGCACGAGAGCGUGGGGAGCAAACAGG
RNAcentral lists this ribosomal RNA (424 nucleotides) under uncultured bacterium. Its description in RNAcentral is "partial 16S ribosomal RNA". It matches the Rfam family "Bacterial small subunit ribosomal RNA", at positions 360 to 776 of the family's 1533-position model. The record is from RNAcentral.